RNAcentral lists this ribosomal RNA (889 nucleotides) under uncultured bacterium. Its description in RNAcentral is "bacterial SSU rRNA". It matches the Rfam family "Bacterial small subunit ribosomal RNA", at positions 8 to 912 of the family's 1533-position model. The record is from RNAcentral.
AGAGUUUGAUCCUGGCUCAGGACGAACGCUGGCGGCGUGCUUAACACAUGCAAGUCGAGCGGAAAGGCCCUUCGGGGUACUCGAGCGGCGAACGGGUGAGUAACACGUGAGUAACCUGCCCUGGACUUUGGGAUAACCCUCGGAAACGGGGGCUAAUACCGGAUACGACUUGAGCUCGCAUGGGCUUGGGUGGAAAGUUUUUCGGUCUGGGAUGGGCUCGCGGCCUAUCAGCUUGUUGGUGGGGUGAUGGCCUACCAAGGCGACGACGGGUAGCCGGCCUGAGAGGGCGACCGGCCACACUGGGACUGAGACACGGCCCAGACUCCUACGGGAGGCAGCAGUGGGGAAUAUUGCACAAUGGGCGGAAGCCUGAUGCAGCGACGCCGCGUGAGGGAUGACGGCCUUCGGGUUGUAAACCUCUUUCAGCAGGGACGAAGCGCAAGUGACGGUACCUGCAGAAGAAGCGCCGGCCAACUACGUGCCAGCAGCCGCGGUAAGACGUAGGGCGCGAGCGUUGUCCGGAUUUAUUGGGCGUAAAGAGCUCGUAGGCGGCUUGUCGCGUCGUCCGUGAAAACCUGCAGCUCAACUGCAGGCUUGCGGUCGAUACGGGCAGGCUCGAGUUCGGUAGGGGAGACUGGAAUUCUCUGGUGUAGCGGUGAAAUGCGCAGAUAUCAGGAGGAACACCGGUGGCGAAGGCGGGUCUCUGGGCCGAUACUGACGCUGAGGCGCGAAAGUGUGGGGAGCAAACAGGAUUAGAUACUCUGGUAGUCCACACGGUAAACGAUGAAUGCUAGGUGUAGGGGGUAUCGACUCUUUCUGUGCCGGAGUAAACACAAUAAGCAUUCCGCCUGGGGGAGUACGGUCGCAAGAUUAAAACUCAAAGGAAUUG